ACAAGAAACGGAAAAAGAAGCAGACAGAGAC
Molecule: small RNA, 31 nt
Filed under: Arabidopsis thaliana (thale cress)
Lineage: Eukaryota; Viridiplantae; Streptophyta; Magnoliopsida; Brassicales; Brassicaceae
Description: ATSL010320
Source: RNAcentral